RNAcentral lists this ribosomal RNA (464 nucleotides) under uncultured bacterium. RNAcentral's name for it is "bacterial SSU rRNA". It matches the Rfam family "Bacterial small subunit ribosomal RNA", at positions 331 to 793 of the family's 1533-position model. The record is from RNAcentral.
CCAGACUCCUACGGGAGGCAGCAGUGAGGAAUAUUGGUCAAUGGUCGGGAGACUGAACCAGCCAAGCCGCGUGAGGGAUGAAGGUACAGAGUAUCGUAAACCUCUUUUGUCAGGGAGCAAAGGGCGCCACGUGUGGCGCUUUGCGAGUACCUGAAGAAAAAGCAUCGGCUAACUCCGUGCCAGCAGCCGCGGUAAUACGGAGGAUGCGAGCGUUAUCCGGAUUUAUUGGGUUUAAAGGGUGCGCAGGCGGAGGUGCAAGUCAGCGGUCAAAUUGCGGGGCUCAACCCCGUACUGCCGUUGAAACUGCAUCCCUUGAGUGCGCGAGAAGUAUGCGGAAUGCGUGGUGUAGCGGUGAAAUGCAUAGAUAUCGCGCAGAACUCCGAUUGCGAAGGCAGCAUGCCGGCUCCACACUGACGCUGAGGCACGAAAGCGUGGGUAUCGAACAGGAUUAGAUACCCCAGUAC